Molecule: ribosomal RNA, 301 nt
Filed under: uncultured bacterium
Lineage: Bacteria
Description: partial 16S ribosomal RNA
Rfam family: Bacterial small subunit ribosomal RNA
Source: RNAcentral
CAGCCGCCACGGGAAUACGAAGGGUGCAAGCGUCAAUCGGAAUUACUGGGCGUAAAGCGUGCGUAGGCGGUGAGUUAAGUCUGCUGUGAAAUCCCCGGGCUCAACCUGGGAAUGGCAGUGGAUACUGGCUCGCUAGAGUGUGUCAGAGGAUGGUGGAAUUCCCGGUGUAGCGGUGAAAUGCGUAGAGAUCGGGAGGAACAUCAGUGGCGAAGGCGGCCAUCUGGGACAACACUGACGCUGAGGCACGAAAGCGUGGGGAGCAAACAGGAUUAGAUACCCCAGUAGUCCCUGUCUCUUAUAC